GUGCUACCCGUGGAAAGGGUCCAGAACAAGCUGUGCGAUGAUAACAAUACACUUGCUGUCUCUAGAGGGGGGGGAGCUCUACUGGGUUGUGCUUAAUGGAUUCUUCAUAACCUUCUUUGCCUUGAGUGGUUCGGAGUGGGUCCCAAGAUGGAAGACAAUGAUACCGGACCAUGUCCCUAGCAACACUUGUCCAGUCCAGCUUGUUGGGGAUGCUGCGAGCAGUGGGGUCGUUCUUAUGAGGUGCUCCCGCAAGGUUUUCGCCAUCGACGUUGAGGACGGCGGUCUGGUGAAGUUCAAGGACUGUCUGGAUAAAAGCGACACUUUUUUCUCAUUCGAGGUGAUUCGUCACGUCAUUGCCGACCACGUGCGUCGGAUGUAAAACUCUGCUUUUGGGCUGAACUUGAGUUACUGUGUUGUCACCUCUGAACCAACACAAAUUUGUAGGAGUUCUAUGUUGCUGAUACGCAUGUAACUCGGCUCUUGCUGAAAUUCAGCUACUGUGGUUCCAACCAAUUGUGUACAGUAUAUUGCAGUAUGUAGUGUACUAUAUCCAUUUGCUUGCAAUCUAGUGCCUGAAUCGUAAUAACUGUAGUGUUGGAGCAGGUUUCUGGCCCCCCUUGGUGAUUCUCUUUCUGAGUUAAAUCAUCUGAAGACUCUAGUGACUGAUGGUUUGGUUCUGUCUGUGAAUGAAUGAGCUUCAGGACUGGGGCUGCAGUUGCACUCCUCUGAAUGCCAAAACGGCACCUAUCUGUACCUGGUGACGGCCUGAAUGAGGUGGCGAGCGGCUGCGGUUGCUCUUCCUUGCCGUACGCGAGCGCCUACUGCUCUGUUGCCGGCGUACUCCUCUCUCUGUGUCCGGGGGCCGUCGGUGUCUGGCUGGCGGGCCCGUAGCCACCCCAUCGAGCACCUGCUGCAGAGCGUGUGGGCGUGUGUGCGGCUGCUCGUGUUCCCGGACAGGCAUGCCUCGUUCGUGCCAUCCGUGCUCAUGCCGAACUCGAUAGGAUGGCGCACACAAGGUGCUCGAUAGAAUGGCGCACACAAGGUGCUCGACAGAAUGCACGUCAAAACUUGCUCCGACCUACUAUGUUAAUUUCAUCAUUAUGUGAAACUCCUAUAUUCUGUUUGAAUAUGAUUCAACUGCUAUAUCGAGCUGACAAUGCGGCGUUAUGCCAGUACAUACCUCCAAACUCGUUUUGGACCCUACUUAAAAAUAAAAUUGAAGGCUGUCGAGCUUACGUGCAAACUCAACUUACGGCGACCUUCUCCCUCUCAUUUCUCUCUUUUCUUUGCGUCAACUCAAAUUUUGUAAACUAAACUCCGGCCGAACUAGAUAGUUCAUCUGUAUAUGGGGCUAUUAAUCACUUAUUAGCGAUAUUUCAGACAAGGGGAAAUGUGGACAGGAACUUUGUCUUACAGACUUACACAACUCUAGAUGAUGCAUGACGAGCCCACCUACAACUUGUCGGGGCGGUUGUGGCCUUGGAGUCGCGGGCGAAGGCGUGUGUGAUGGCCUAGCGGGCAUGGAAAUGUGUGAGGGUGUGUGCCUCCCAUGUCAGCCAUGGGUCUUUCUCAGCGUCGAGGGAGAUUUCACGACAAGUGUGUGGUCCCAAAUGAUGCUCUCCCUCCCUCCCUCCCUCCAUUUCCCACGAUGCCACCAUGGUUUUCCGCCCGGCCCACGUUCUCAUCAAAUACCUGAGCUGAGGCCUGACGGGUUCUUGAGCUUCCCUACUAGUGGGGGUGCGCUUGUGGCGUGACGUUGGCGUGUCGACGGACGACAUCCCUUACGACACAAUUUGAACCACACUCCAUAAUUCAUGGUGAUUUUUUAUCAAGUUGAUGUUCAAAUGAUGUCUUGCUUGUCGUUAAUGUGACCCUCUAAAUACAAAAAUACAAAAAAAAAA
This 1901-nucleotide long non-coding RNA is filed under the name Triticum aestivum (bread wheat). Its description in RNAcentral is "long non-coding RNA (TAES_LNC023044)". Lineage: Eukaryota; Viridiplantae; Streptophyta; Magnoliopsida; Poales; Poaceae. The record is from RNAcentral.